Molecule: ribosomal RNA, 892 nt
Filed under: uncultured archaeon
Lineage: Archaea
Description: bacterial SSU rRNA
Rfam family: Archaeal small subunit ribosomal RNA
Source: RNAcentral
GAGGACGGGGGGUGAACCAAGCCAUGCGAGUCAUUGUAGCAAUACAAGGCAGACGGCUCAGUAACGCGUAGUCAAUCUACCCUAUGGACGGGAAUAACCUCGGGAAACUGAGAAUAAUGCCCGAUAGAACAUUAUACCUGGAACGGUUUAUGUUUCAAAUGAUUUAUCGCCGUAGGAUGGGACUGCGGCCUAUCAGUUUGUUGGUGAGGUAAUGGCCCACCAAGACUAUUACAGGUACGGGCUCUGAGAGGAGUAGCCCGGAGAUGGGUACUGAGACACGGACCCAGGCCCUAUGGGGCGCAGCAGGCGAGAAAACUUUGCAAUGUGCGAAAGCACGACAAGGUUAAUCCGAGUGGUUUCUGCUAAAGAAACCUUUUGCUAGUCCUAGAAACACUAGUGAAUAAGGGGUGGGCAAGUUCUGGUGUCAGCCGCCGCGGUAAAACCAGCACCUCAAGUGGUCAGGAUGAUUAUUGGGCCUAAAGCAUCCGUAGCUCGUUUUGUAAGUUUUCGGUUAAAUCCAUACGCUCAACGUAUGGGCUGCCGGGAAUACUGCAUAACUAGGAAGUGGGAGAGGUAGACGGUACUCGGUAGGAAGGGGUAAAAUCCUUUGAUCUAUUGAUGACCACCUGUGGCGAAGGCGGUCUACCAGAACACGUUCGACGGUGAGGGAUGAAAGCUGGGGGAGCAAACCGGAUUAGAUACCCAGGUAGUCCCAGCUGUAAACUAUGCAAACUCAGUGAUGCAUUGGCUUGUGGCCAAUGCAGUGCUGCAGGGAAGCCGUUAAGUUUGCCGCCUGGGAAGUACGUACGCAAGUAUGAAACUUAAAGGAAUUGGCGGGGGAGCACCACAAGGGGUGAAGCCUGCGGUUCAAUUGGAGUCAACGCCGGGAAUC